Molecule: ribosomal RNA, 545 nt
Filed under: uncultured bacterium
Lineage: Bacteria
Description: bacterial SSU rRNA
Rfam family: Bacterial small subunit ribosomal RNA
Source: RNAcentral
AAUAGAUACCCAGGUAGUCCACGCCGUAAACGGUGAGUGCUAAGUGUUGGGGGGUUUCCGCCCCUCAGUGCUGCAGCUAACGCAUUAAGCACUCCGCCUGGGGAGUACGGUCGCAAGACUGAAACUCAAAGGAAUUGACGGGGGCCCGCACAAGCGGUGGAGCAUGUGGUUUAAUUCGAAGCAACGCGAAGAACCUUACCAGGUCUUGACAUCCCGGUGACCACUAUGGAGACAUAGUUUCCCCUUCGGGGGCAACGGUGACAGGUGGUGCAUGGUUGUCGUCAGCUCGUGUCGUGAGAUGUUGGGUUAAGUCCCGCAACGAGCGCAACCCUUAUUCUUAGUUGCCAUCAUUCAGUUGGGCACUCUAAGGAGACUGCCGGUGAUAAACCGGAGGAAGGUGGGGAUGGCGUCAAAUCAUCAUGCCCCUUAUGACCUGGGCUACACACGUGCUACAAUGGACGGUACAAACGGUUGCCAACCCGCGAGGGGGAGCUAAUCCGAUAAAACCGUUCUCAGUUCGGAUUGUAGGCUGCAACUCGCCUACA